This 438-nucleotide ribosomal RNA is filed under the name uncultured bacterium. RNAcentral's name for it is "bacterial SSU rRNA". It matches the Rfam family "Bacterial small subunit ribosomal RNA", at positions 954 to 1392 of the family's 1533-position model. The record is from RNAcentral.
GCUUAACGCGAAGAACCUUACCAAGGCUUGACAUGCAUCUCUAAGCGCGUGAAAGCGCGUGACUCUUUGGAGGAUUUGCACAGGUGCUGCAUGGCCGUCGUCAGCUCGUGUCGUGAGAUGUUGGGUUAAGUCCCGCAACGAGCGCAACCCCUGUGAUUAGUUGCCAGCACGUGAUGGUGGGGACUCUAAUCAGACUGCCCAGAUCAACUGGGAGGAAGGUGGGGACGACGUCAGGUCAGUAUGGCCCUUACGCCUUGGGCUGCACACGUACUACAAUGCCCAGCACAAUGAGAACCGAGACCGCGAGGUGGAGGAAAUCUACAAAACUGGGCCCAGUUCGGAUUGGAGGCUGCAACUCGCCUCCAUGAAGCCGGAAUCGCUAGUAAUGCUGCAUCAGCUACGGCAGCGUGAAUACGUUCCCGGGUCUUGUACACACCG